This 254-nucleotide long non-coding RNA is filed under the name Elaeis guineensis (African oil palm). Its description in RNAcentral is "long non-coding RNA (EGUI_LNC000722)". The record is from RNAcentral. Lineage: Eukaryota; Viridiplantae; Streptophyta; Magnoliopsida; Arecales; Arecaceae.
GCAUGAGAAAUGGAAGUCAUUUAAUUAGUUCAUGUGAUAUGUUGGAGCUUGAGUGAAAGGUCCCAUUCAUUUAUAUUUUGCAAGAUAUCUAGUGAUAGGUCAAUUCAAUGGUUGGCGUGACAAUUUGGUUUCUAAGGGUCUGCUCCAAAUGUAGGCUUUCUGAAGGAAGGUCUUGUAAACUUCUACUUGGCACGUUUUUAUUCAAGAAAGAAAUGAACCGAAUUGUGUCCCUUCCUUUCCGUGAUGUUAGUGUU